RNAcentral lists this ribosomal RNA (494 nucleotides) under uncultured bacterium. RNAcentral describes it as "partial 16S ribosomal RNA". It matches the Rfam family "Bacterial small subunit ribosomal RNA", at positions 28 to 507 of the family's 1533-position model. The record is from RNAcentral.
GACGAACGCUGGCGGCGCGCUUAACACAUGCAAGUCGAACGGAAAGGCCUGCUUUCCCUUGUGGAUUGCGGGUACUCGAGUGGCGAACGGGUGAGUAACACGUGAGUGAUCUGCCCCCAACUUGGGUAUAAGCCUGGGAAACUGGGUCUAAUUCCCGAUAGGACUGCAGGGUGGUGCCUGUGGUGGAAAACGAUUUUCUAGUGGUUGGGGAUGAGCUCGCGGCCUAUCAGCUUGUUGGUGGGGUAAUGGCCUACCAAGGCGGCGACGGGUAGCCGGCCUGAGAGGGUGGACGGCCACAUUGGGACUGAGAUACGGCCCAGACUCCUACGGGAGGCAGCAGUGGGGAAUAUUGCACAAUGGGCGGAAGCCUGAUGCAGCGAGGCCGCGUGGGGGAUGACGGCCUUCGGGUUGUAAACUCCUUUCGACCGCGAGGAAGCCACCUGGUUGGAAGGGUGGUGACGGUAGUGGUAGAAGAAGCACCGGCUAACUACGUG